RNAcentral lists this ribosomal RNA (254 nucleotides) under uncultured bacterium. RNAcentral describes it as "partial 16S ribosomal RNA". It matches the Rfam family "Bacterial small subunit ribosomal RNA", at positions 524 to 776 of the family's 1533-position model. The record is from RNAcentral.
CACGUAGGGUGCGAGCGUUGUCCGGAAUUAUUGGGCGUAAAGAGCUCGUAGGCGGUGUGUCGCGUCGGCCGUGAAAACCUGCAGCUUAACUGUGGGCUUGCGGUCGAUACGGGCAUCACUGGAGUUCGGCAGGGGAGACUGGAAUUCCUGGUGUAGCGGUGAAAUGCGCAGAUAUCAGGAGGAACACCGGUGGCGAAGGCGGGUCUCUGGGCCGAUACUGACGCUGAUGCGCGACAGCGUGGGGAGCAAACAGG